AUUGAACGCUGGCGGAAUGCUUUACACAUGCAAGUCGAACGGUAGAGGGGGCAACCCCCUUGAGAGUGGCGAACGGGUGAGUAAUAUAUCGGAACGUGCCCAGUCGUGGGGAUAACGUAGCGAAAGUUACGCUAAUACCGCAUACGAUCUAAGGAUGAAAGCGGGGGGAUCGCAAGACCUCGCGCGAUUGGAGCGGCCGAUAUCAGAUUAGGUAGUUGGUGAGGUAAAGGCUCACCAAGCCAACGAUCUGUAGCUGGUCUGAGAGGACGACCAGCCACACUGGAACUGAGACACGGUCCAGACUCCUACGGGAGGCAGCAGUGGGGAAUUUUGGACAAUGGACGCAAGUCUGAUCCAGCCAUUCCGCGUGCAGGAUGAAGGCCCUCGGGUUGUAAACUGCUUUUGUACGGAACGAAAAGGUUUCUAUUAAUACUAGGUAGCUCAUGACGGUACCGUAAGAAUAAGCACCGGCUAACUACGUGCCAGCAGCCGCGGU
This 496-nucleotide ribosomal RNA is filed under the name uncultured bacterium. Its description in RNAcentral is "bacterial SSU rRNA". It matches the Rfam family "Bacterial small subunit ribosomal RNA", at positions 30 to 521 of the family's 1533-position model. The record is from RNAcentral.